GUGAAGAACGUAGCGAAAUGCGAUAAUUAAUGUGAAUUGCAGAAUUUAGUGAAUCAUCGAAUCUUUGAACGCACAUUGCGCCCGCGAGUAUUCUCGCGGGCAUGCCUGUCCGAGCGUCAUUUCAACCCUCAGGGCCCGCCUGCUUCGGCAGGCGCGGCGCUGGUGUUGGGGAUCGGCCUAACCGCCGUCCCCCAAAUACAGUGGCGGUCUCGCUGCAGCCUCCCCUGCGUAGUAGCAACACUCGCAUGCGGAGCGCGGCGCGGCCACGCCGUAAAACCCCCGACUUUCUGAACGUUGACCUCGGAUCAGGUAGGAAUACCCGCUGAACUUAAGCAUAUCAAUAAGCGGAGGA
Molecule: unclassified non-coding RNA, 352 nt
Filed under: soil metagenome
Description: partial contains 5.8S ribosomal RNA, internal transcribed spacer 2, and large subunit ribosomal RNA
Rfam family: 5.8S ribosomal RNA (bases 2-119)
Source: RNAcentral